CCGGAGGGAAACCGAGUCUUAACCGGGCGUUAAGUUGCAGGGUAUAGACCCGAAACCCGGUGAUCUAGCCAUGGGCAGGUUGAAGGUUGGGUAACACUAACUGGAGGACCGAACCGACUAAUGUUGAAAAAUUAGCGGAUGACCUGUGGCUGGGGGUGAAAGGCCAAUCAAACCGGGAGAUAGCUGGUUCUCCCCGAAAGCUAUUUAGGUAGCGCCUCGUGAAUUCAUCUCCGGGGGUAGAGCACUGUUUCGGCUAGGGGGCCAUCCCGGCUUACCAACCCGAUGCAAACUGCGAAUACCGGAGAAUGUUAUCACGGGAGACACACGGCGGGUGCUAACGUCCGUCGUGAAGAGGGAAACAACCCAGACCGCCAGCUAAGGUCCCAAAGUCAUGGUUAAGUGGGAAACGAUGUGGGAAGGCCCAGACAGCCAGGAUGUUGGCUUAGAAGCAGCCAUCAUUUAAAGAAAGCGUAAUAGCUCACUGGUCGAGUCGGCCUGCGCGGAAGAUGUAACGGGGCUAAACCAUGCACCGAAGCUGCGGCAGCGACACUGUGUGUUGUUGGGUAGGGGAGCGUUCUGUAAGCCUGUGAAGGUGUGUCGUGAGGCAUGCUGGAGGUAUCAGAAGUGCGAAUGCUGACAUAAGUAACGAUAAAGCGGGUGAAAAGCCCGCUCGCCGGAAGACCAAGGGUUCCUGUCCAACGUUAAUCGGGGCAGGGUGAGUCGACCCCUAAGGCGAGGCCGAAAGGCGUAGUCGAUGGGAAACGGGUUAAUAUUCCCGUACUUGGUGUUACUGCGAAGGGGGGACGGAGAAGGCUAUGUUGGCCGGGCGACGGUUGUCCCGGUUUAAGCGUGUAGGUGUGUGUUCCAGGUAAAUCCGGUUCACUUUAACACUGAGGCGUGACGACGAGGCACUACGGUGCUGAAGCAACAAAUGCCCUGCUUCCAGGAAAAGCCUCUAAGCAUCAGGUAACAUCAAAUCGUACCCCAAACCGACACAGGUGGUCAGGUAGAGAAUACCAAGGCGCUUGAGAGAACUCGGGUGAAGGAACUAGGCAAAAUGGUGCCGUAACUUCGGGAGAAGGCACGCUGACACGUAGGUGAAGUGAUUUACUCAUGGAGCUGAAGUCAGUCGAAGAUACCAGCUGGCUGCAACUGUUUAUUAAAAACACAGCACUGUGCAAACACGAAAGUGGACGUAUACGGUGUGACGCCUGCCCGGUGCCGGAAGGUUAAUUGAUGGGGUCAGCGCAAGCGAAGCUCCUGAUCGAAGCCCCGGUAAACGGCGGCCGUAACUAUAACGGUCCUAAGGUAGCGAAAUUCCUUGUCGGGUAAGUUCCGACCUGCACGAAUGGCGUAAUGAUGGCCAGGCUGUCUCCACCCGAGACUCAGUGAAAUUGAACUCGCUGUGAAGAUGCAGUGUACCCGCGGCAAGACGGAAAGACCCCGUGAACCUUUACUAUAGCUUGACACUGAACAUUGAGCCUUGAUGUGUAGGAUAGGUGGGAGGCUUUGAAGUGUGGACGCCAGUCUGCAUGGAGCCGACCUUGAAAUACCACCCUUUAAUGUUUGAUGUUCUAACGUGGACCCGUUACCCGGGUUGCGGACAGUGUCUGGUGGGUAGUUUGACUGGGGCGGUCUCCUCCUAAAGAGUAACGGAGGAGCACGAAGGUUGGCUAAUCCUGGUCGGACAUCAGGAGGUUAGUGCAAUGGCAUAAGCCAGCUUGACUGCGAGCGUGACGGCGCGAGCAGGUGCGAAAGCAGGUCAUAGUGAUCCGGUGGUUCUGAAUGGAAGGGCCAUCGCUCAACGGAUAAAAGGUACUCCGGGGAUAACAGGCUGAUACCGCCCAAGAGUUCAUAUCGACGGCGGUGUUUGGCACCUCGAUGUCGGCUCAUCACAUCCUGGGGCUGAAGUAGGUCCCAAGGGUAUGGCUGUUCGCCAUUUAAAGUGGUACGCGAGCUGGGUUUAGAACGUCGUGAGACAGUUCGGUCCCUAUCUGCCGUGGGCGCUGGAGAACUGAGGGGGGCUGCUCCUAGUACGAGAGGACCGGAGUGGACGCAUCACUGGUGUUCGGGUUGUCAUGCCAAUGGCACUGCCCGGUAGCUAAAUGCGGAAGAGAUAAGUGCUGAAAGCAUCUAAGCACGAAACUUGCCCCGA
RNAcentral lists this ribosomal RNA (2155 nucleotides) under Salmonella enterica. Its description in RNAcentral is "partial 23S ribosomal RNA". It matches the Rfam family "Bacterial large subunit ribosomal RNA", at positions 666 to 2802 of the family's 2925-position model. Lineage: Bacteria; Pseudomonadati; Pseudomonadota; Gammaproteobacteria; Enterobacterales; Enterobacteriaceae. The record is from RNAcentral.